This is a long non-coding RNA of Gavialis gangeticus (Gharial), 1489 nucleotides long. RefSeq lists it as uncharacterized. The record is from RefSeq and is a predicted model, not a curated record. Lineage: Eukaryota; Metazoa; Chordata; Crocodylia; Gavialidae. The transcript is spliced from 2 exons.
GCCCCGAGGCCUCUCGUCCUGGCAAGGGGCACCCUGAGGCAGCAAAGCCCGGCGCGGCAGAGAGACCUGCCCAGGGGCUCGGCCAGGGGCAGAUGAGGGUAGCGGUUAAAGCCAAUCCCCCCGGCCCGGCCCGGCCCGGCCCGGGAGAAGCGCGCUCUGGGUGGGCGGCUUCACAGGGACAGAGGGACAGACAGACGGACAACGCCCGAGGAGAGCAUCAGCUCAGGAAAGUUUAUGCUACAUGUUAAAUAGACGGCACCUGAUAAAUGAGCUUGAGCUCAGGGAAGGUUAUGCUGUAGACAGACAGAUUAGCAUGGACAGCACCUGACUAGGUCAGAUGCCUCCCUGACCUGCUGCUGGUGUUUCCUGAUUCAGCUUGCUGGCUCAGCCUGAGCCUUAGGGUGACUUACUGCUUUUGGUCUCUUCUGUGUUCAUAUAUUGUCUCUGUGACCAUGCACGGCUCUAGCCUACAGUGCUACUGUGGCACAACCAGUUCUGUGGUAAGUGCUUGCAUCAGGUAGCUGCUGAAGAACAUGUUCUCUGGCAGCUCAUAAUGAACAGCUUUCCCUGCCAGAAGCUCUCACCAGUGCUGCUCUAUGCUUAAAGUAACAGGAGAUGUUGGCUGUCUGUUACACUCAGGUACAAAAAAUGUUUUUAUGGCACCUAAUAAACUAUUAGUGAUGGGGGCUGCUGGGUAAUAUUGCAGUACAAAUAAUAAUAUGCUCAGUAAAUCAGCCUCAAGGCACACACGUAGUCUAAUUAGUUUCAGGCAGAUUACUUUUUGACAAAUACUGUUGAGUUAACUGGACUUCCAGUCCUACAAAGUAUUUCACAGGUCUAGUAAAUUCAAGCUACUUAAUGGUACUUAUACUGUUUCCCUGCUCCCAUAUAGUUGCAUACUGAAAGUUAUAUGCAUUGUACAUAGAAGUCUGACAACCUGCUGAGUCAAGUCAUUAUAACAAAUCUUAUGGAUAAGAAAUAUAAAACUAUGAAGAUAGGGCUGUCUUUAUGCAAACAAAGGUCACGUGCAGCACAACAUCAGUGUUUACCAUAGAUUAACUAUAGUCUAUAUUAUUUGAAAGCUUAUCCAAGAAGUUAUCUUACAUUCUCAGAGUUCCUCUGAGUGCCAGAAGAGCUGUUAACAGAACUCAGGAUUCAUAGCCAUUAAUCCACAUUUCUUACAAUGCUGAGACUGACUUUAGGAUCCCAUCCUGCAAACUGAAGAAUGCAAGUAAUGUUACUCUUCUGAUUGGUCUUAUGGGACUUCUGUUGUACUAUACCCCACUUCAUUUCACUUACUGAAAUAUUGAGUACAUUUCUGUCUUUUUAUAACAACAUCUUAAUGGGACUAGUUUUAGGAAUAAAGUUGUUCACGUACUUAAACAUUUGUAGCACUGGAAUUAUUGGCCUUCUCCACAGGUAUAAGAAUUCUACUAGUUUUUAACUAAAUUGAUCUGAUAUAGUUAAGUUGGCAUAAAACCACAUGUCA